This 445-nucleotide ribosomal RNA is filed under the name uncultured bacterium. RNAcentral describes it as "bacterial SSU rRNA". It matches the Rfam family "Bacterial small subunit ribosomal RNA", at positions 354 to 796 of the family's 1533-position model. The record is from RNAcentral.
GUAGGGAAUAUUGGGCAAUGGAUGCAAGUCUGACCCAGCCAUCCCGCGUGCCGGAAGAAGGCCCUCAGGGUUGUAAACGGCUUUUGACGGUGAAGAAUCGACAGGAUGCGUCCUGUUUUGACGGUAGCCGUUGAAUAAGCACCGGCUAACUCCGUGCCAGCAGCCGCGGUAAUACGGAGGGUGCGAGCGUUGUCAGGAUUUAGUGGGUUUAAAGGGUGCGUAGGCUGGAAGGGCAGUAAGCGGUGAAAAGCGUGCUCUUAACGAUAGUCUUGCCGCAGAUACUUCCUUUCUUGGAUGAGGAGGAGGCCACUGGAACGGAUGGUGUAGCGGUGAAAUGCAUAGAUAUCAUCCAGAACACCGAUUGCGAAGGCAGGUGGCUGUACCUUAAUCGACGCUGAUGCACGAAAGCAUGGGGAGCAAACAGGAUUAGAAACCCUGGUAGUCC